RNA transcript from Lontra canadensis (Northern American river otter), 1715 nucleotides. It is a transcript of the gene named SPT3 homolog, SAGA and STAGA complex component, with no coding region annotated. NCBI's taxonomy places the organism in Eukaryota, Metazoa, Chordata, Mammalia, Carnivora, Mustelidae. The record is from RefSeq and is a predicted model, not a curated record. The transcript is spliced from 14 exons.
ACGGAGAGUCGGGCUCACGCCAUUUUGUGCCCCCCCCCACCCCUGCCCCGGCCGAGCCACCUUCUCCUUUUCUACACUCUGAGCCCUCCACCCCGCCCCUUUCCAAGCGUGUCCCGGGCCGCCGCCGCAGAAACCGCACCUCUCUCCCCACAUUCUCCACGCGGGACGCGCAGCCGUGCCUACAAGUGUUCUUAAAGCAGAGAUGAAUAAUACUGCAGCCAGCCCCAUGUCUACUGCUACUUCAAGUAGUGGAAGAAGUACAGGGAAGUCUGUAAGCUUUGCAGCAGAGUUACAGAGUAUGAUGUUUUCUUUAGGUGAUGCUAGGAGGCCUCUUCAUGAAACGGCACUUUUGGUAGAAGAUGUGGUACACACGCAGUUAAUUAAUCUGUUACAGCAAGCUGCUGAAGUUUCCCAGCUCCGGGGAGCAAGGGUAAUCUCUGCUGAAGACCUUCUGUUUUUGAUGCGCAAAGAUAAGAAAAAGCUUAGAAGACUGCUAAAGUACAUGUUUUUCCGAGACUACAAAUCCAAGAUUGUCAAGGGUAUAGAUGAGGAUGACCUUCUGGAAGACAAACUGAGUGGCAGCAAUAAUGCGAACAAAAGACAGAAGAUCGCCCAAGACUUUCUCAACUCUAUUGACCAAACAGGAGAACUCCUGGCAAUGUUUGAAGAUGAUGAGAUCGAUGAAGUUAAGCAAGAAAGAAUGGAGAGAGCAGAAAGACAAACUCGAAUUAUGGAUUCAGCCCAAUAUGCAGAAUUCUGUGAAAGUCGACAAUUAAGUUUCUCCAAAAAGGCCUCCAAAUUUCGAGACUGGCUGGACUGCAGCAGUAUGGAGAUAAAACCCAAUGUUGUCGCAAUGGAAAUUUUAGCAUAUUUAGCAUAUGAAACUGUGGCACAGUUAGUGGACCUGGCUCUUCUCGUGAGGCAGGACAUGGUAACCAAGGCAGGAGACCCCUUCAGCCAUGCCAUUUCGGCAACGUUCAUUCAGUAUCACAACUCUGCUGAGGGGUCUUGCAUGAAGUCCUUCCCAGAGUCUCCUGAGAACACACCUCCUCCCACACCGACUGCCCCCUCGUCUGGAUCACAGCACUCAGGGAAAACCACAUCGGGGUCCCUCGGGAAUGGGAGUGCUGGGCAAGACUCAACUAAAACCAAGCAAAGGAAAAGAAAAAAGAGCACCGCGGCCUGUGGUGUUGAGGCUCACAGCGAUGCCAUCCAGCCCUGCCACAUCAGAGAGGCCGUUCGACGCUAUGGCCACAAGAUUGGCCCCCUUUCCCCAUUCACAAGUGCCUACCGCAGGAAUGGGAUGGCUUUUCUGGCCUGCUGAUGGGACUGUGACUGUAACAACAGGAAAGGCAAUGUUAUAUUAAGGAGUAAACCAAGCCCACUCAGCACUUCCUGUUUACCUCCUGGUUUUACCUAUGACUCACCUAAAAUCUGAACAAGACACCAUUUGAUGUGACAUUCCAUCUUCCCGCCCAAGAAUGUGGCCUGGAGAAGAGCCCCUCAGGGCUGGCCGCCAUAUUGCUCUUCUUGGUGACCAGUUGCAUGUGCCCCUGCCAUUCACUGAGAUAUCGAGCUUACCCUUGAUGAUUAGUUCCAACCAAUUAAUUUUUGGCUAAGUCAUCUACAAGCUCUGUAUCUACUAGCUACUGUCACAUAACAAACACUCCCAAACUCAGCUUAACCCAGUAAAGCACUUAUUGUUGAUGAGUCCA